RNAcentral lists this ribosomal RNA (253 nucleotides) under uncultured bacterium. Its description in RNAcentral is "partial 16S ribosomal RNA". It matches the Rfam family "Bacterial small subunit ribosomal RNA", at positions 524 to 776 of the family's 1533-position model. The record is from RNAcentral.
UACGUAGGGGGCAAGCGUUGUUCGGAAUUACUGGGCGUAAAGCGCGCGUAGGCGGACCUGCAAGUCUGCGGUGAAAGCCCGAGGCUCAACCUCGGAACUGCCUUCGAUACUGCGGGUCUCGAGUCCGGGAGAGGUGAGUGGAAUUCCUAGUGUAGAGGUGAAAUUCGUAGAUAUUAGGGAGAACACCAGUGGCGAAGGCGGCUCACUGGCCCGGUACUGACGCUGAGGCGCGAAAGCGUGGGGAGCAAACAGG